GACGAACGCUGGCGGCGUGCUUAACACAUGCAAGUCGAGCGGAAAGGCCCUUUCGGGGGUACUCGAGCGGCGAACGGGUGAGUAACACGUGAGUAAUCUGCCCCUGGCUUUGGGAUAGCCACCGGAAACGGUGAUUAAUACCGGAUACGACCACUUCUCGCAUGGGAUGGUGGUGGAAAGUUUUUCGGCCAGGGAUGUGCUCGCGGCCUAUCAGCUUGAUGGUGAGGUAAUGGCUCACCAUGGCUUCGACGGGUAGCCGGCCUGAGAGGGUGGCAGGGCACACUGGGACUGAGACACGGGCCAGACUCCUACGGGAGGCAGCAGGGGGGAAUAUGGGACAAUGGGCGGAAGCGUGAUCCAGCAACGCCGCGGGAGGGAUGACGGCCUUCGGGUUGUAAACCUCUUUCAGCAGGGACGAAGCGCAAGUGACGGUACCUGCAGAAGAAGCACCGGCCAACUACGUGCCAGCAGCCGCCGUAA
RNAcentral lists this ribosomal RNA (480 nucleotides) under uncultured bacterium. RNAcentral describes it as "partial 16S ribosomal RNA". It matches the Rfam family "Bacterial small subunit ribosomal RNA", at positions 28 to 523 of the family's 1533-position model. The record is from RNAcentral.